RNAcentral lists this transfer RNA (74 nucleotides) under Alphaproteobacteria bacterium. RNAcentral describes it as "tRNA-Gln". It matches the Rfam family "tRNA". Rfam says of the family: Transfer RNA (tRNA) molecules are approximately 80 nucleotides in length. Their secondary structure includes four short double-helical elements and three loops (D, anti-codon, and T loops). Further hydrogen bonds mediate the characteristic L-shaped molecular structure. tRNAs have two regions of fundamental functional importance: the anti-codon, which is responsible for specific mRNA codon recognition, and the 3' end, to which the tRNAs corresponding amino acid is attached (by aminoacyl-tRNA synthetases). tRNAs cope with the degeneracy of the genetic code in two manners: having more than one tRNA (with a specific anti-codon) for a particular amino acid; and 'wobble' base-pairing, i.e. permitting non-standard base-pairing at the 3rd anti-codon position. RNAcentral also lists the same sequence under 2 other names. The record is from RNAcentral. Lineage: Bacteria; Pseudomonadati; Pseudomonadota; Alphaproteobacteria.
UGCCCCGUCGUAUAACGGUAAUACUACGGACUCUGAAUCCGUCAAUCGUGGUUCGAAUCCACGCGGGGCAUCCA